Bufo gargarizans (Asiatic toad) is the source of this 86-nucleotide small nucleolar RNA. RefSeq annotates it as small nucleolar RNA SNORD71. Lineage: Eukaryota; Metazoa; Chordata; Amphibia; Anura; Bufonidae. The record is from RefSeq and is a predicted model, not a curated record. The transcript has a single exon.
UGUGUGAUGGCGGCGGCUCCAUUCCUGAGCCGUCGCCAUCAGCAGAGAGUGUCAGCUCUAUGCUGACACUCUGCUGUAACCCCACA